Molecule: ribosomal RNA, 1803 nt
Filed under: Shigella flexneri
Lineage: Bacteria; Pseudomonadati; Pseudomonadota; Gammaproteobacteria; Enterobacterales; Enterobacteriaceae
Description: partial 23S ribosomal RNA
Rfam family: Bacterial large subunit ribosomal RNA
Source: RNAcentral
CAUGGUUAAGUGGGAAACGAUGUGGGAAGGCCCAGACAGCCAGGAUGUUGGCUUAGAAGCAGCCAUCAUUUAAAGAAAGCGUAAUAGCUCACUGGUCGAGUCGGCCUGCGCGGAAGAUGUAACGGGGCUAAACCAUGCACCGAAGCUGCGGCAGCGACGCUUAUGCGUUGUUGGGUAGGGGAGCGUUCUGUAAGCCUGUGAAGGUGUGCUGUGAGGUAUGCUGGAGGUAUCAGAAGUGCGAAUGCUGACAUAAGUAACGAUAAAGCGGGUGAAAAGCCCGCUCGCCGGAAGACCAAGGGUUCCUGUCCAACGUUAAUCGGGGCAGGGUGAGUCGACCCCUAAGGCGAGGCCGAAAGGCGUAGUCGAUGGGAAACAGGUUAAUAUUCCUGUACUUGGUGUUACUGCGAAGGGGGGACGGAGAAGGCUAUGUUGGCCGGGCGACGGUUGUCCCGGUUUAAGCGUGUAGGCUGGUUUUCCAGGCAAAUCCGGAAAAUCAAGGCCGAGGCGUGAUGACGAGGCACUACGGUGCUGAAGCAACAAAUGCCCUGCUUCCAGGAAAAGCCUCUAAGCAUCAGGUAACAUCAAAUCGUACCCCAAACCGACACAGGUGGUCAGGUAGAGAAUACCAAGGCGCUUGAGAGAACUCGGGUGAAGGAACUAGGCAAAAUGGUGCCGUAACUUCGGGAGAAGGCACGCUGAUACGUAGGUGAAGCGACUUGCUCGUGGAGCUGAAAUCAGUCGAAGAUACCAGCUGGCUGCAACUGUUUAUUAAAAACACAGCACUGUGCAAACACGAAAGUGGACGUAUACGGUGUGACGCCUGCCCGGUGCCGGAAGGUUAAUUGAUGGGGUUAGCGCAAGCGAAGCUCUUGAUCGAAGCCCCGGUAAACGGCGGCCGUAACUAUAACGGUCCUAAGGUAGCGAAAUUCCUUGUCGGGUAAGUUCCGACCUGCACGAAUGGCGUAAUGAUGGCCAGGCUGUCUCCACCCGAGACUCAGUGAAAUUGAACUCGCUGUGAAGAUGCAGUGUACCCGCGGCAAGACGGAAAGACCCCGUGAACCUUUACUAUAGCUUGACACUGAACAUUGAGCCUUGAUGUGUAGGAUAGGUGGGAGGCUUUGAAGUGUGGACGCCAGUCUGCAUGGAGCCGACCUUGAAAUACCACCCUUUAAUGUUUGAUGUUCUAACGUGGACCCGUGAUCCGGGUUGCGGACAGUGUCUGGUGGGUAGUUUGACUGGGGCGGUCUCCUCCUAAAGAGUAACGGAGGAGCACGAAGGUUGGCUAAUCCUGGUCGGACAUCAGGAGGUUAGUGCAAUGGCAUAAGCCAGCUUGACUGCGAGCGUGACGGCGCGAGCAGGUGCGAAAGCAGGUCAUAGUGAUCCGGUGGUUCUGAAUGGAAGGGCCAUCGCUCAACGGAUAAAAGGUACUCCGGGGAUAACAGGCUGAUACCGCCCAAGAGUUCAUAUCGACGGCGGUGUUUGGCACCUCGAUGUCGGCUCAUCACAUCCUGGGGCUGAAGUAGGUCCCAAGGGUAUGGCUGUUCGCCAUUUAAAGUGGUACGCGAGCUGGGUUUAGAACGUCGUGAGACAGUUCGGUCCCUAUCUGCCGUGGGCGCUGGAGAACUGAGGGGGGCUGCUCCUAGUACGAGAGGACCGGAGUGGACGCAUCACUGGUGUUCGGGUUGUCAUGCCAAUGGCACUGCCCGGUAGCUAAAUGCGGAAGAGAUAAGUGCUGAAAGCAUCUAAGCACGAAACUUGCCCCGAGAUGAGUUCUCCCUGACCCUUUAAGGGUCCUGAAGGAAC